UACGUAGGGUGCAAGCGUUAAUCGGAAUUACUGGGCGUAAAGCGUGCGCAGGCGGUUAUGUAAGACAGUUGUGAAAUCCCCGGGCUCAACCUGGGAACUGCAUCUGUGACUGCAUAGCUAGAGUACGGUAGAGGGGGAUGGAAUUCCGCGUGUAGCAGUGAAAUGCGUAGAUAUGCGGAGGUACACCGAUGGCGAAGGCAAUCCCCUGGACCUGUACUGACGCUCAUGCACGAAAGCGUGGGGAGCAAACAGG
RNAcentral lists this ribosomal RNA (253 nucleotides) under uncultured bacterium. Its description in RNAcentral is "partial 16S ribosomal RNA". It matches the Rfam family "Bacterial small subunit ribosomal RNA", at positions 524 to 776 of the family's 1533-position model. The record is from RNAcentral.